UCUGAUAAGUUAUCUCUUUGGUCACAGUCACCUGGCAGGAGAAAGGCUUCCAAGGUCUAACUAAGCUUGUUAUCCUAGCUAAUCACUAUGACCUGCCAGGUAUAUACUGUUUGCCUUUUAUAUCUUUCUUUAGGGUAAACAAUGGCAGCCAUAAAGGAAGACAAGAAAAGUGAUUCAAAGUGACCCAUUUUCUAAGCUGCCACAGAUGAAAGUGGAAAGUAACUCUCAUUAAAUAGUUACCAACAGAGAGAAAAGCAGACAGCCCUGUGUUGUUAGAAACUGAGGAAAGAUCCCAUCUUUUUGGACUUAGAUAUACCAAGGUUGGAUUCCCAGCUCAGCCACUUACGAGGCUACAGGUGUAAAACUGAAAGUAACUGCUGAUGGUUCCUUCGAAUUCUGGAGAGGAGAUGCUAGUCAGCAAGAAGAAGGAAGAGAACAAACCCAGAACCUGCACCCCCCACACCCUCAUCCCCACCAAAGAUUUCUGAUCAUGACUCAAGUUCUAUUUCGAAGACUGAAACUUCAAUUUCGACUCAACAGAACUUGUCAUUAUAAUUGAAGGUGACAUUGUCCUCAUAGAUCCAUUUUGAUCUCAAGAUCCCAUUGGAGGGAGAGAACUUCAGACUUGCUAAUGAAAGGCUGAAAUGCAGAUGUAGAUGAGGAAAAAUGGAUUCCUGAAUGAUCCUGUGGCUUGAGAGCUCAUCUCGCUCAAUUCUGUUACGUGAGAAUGAAGAAAACUUCUGUUACAUUUGGUUAAGGUGAUCAUACGAGUCUUAAACUGUUUUCCAGGUAUUCCACCCAGAAAGAUGCUAAGGGAUCUACCAUUGAAAAC
Molecule: long non-coding RNA, 832 nt
Organism: Lemur catta (Ring-tailed lemur)
Lineage: Eukaryota; Metazoa; Chordata; Mammalia; Primates; Lemuridae
Exons: 4
Source: RefSeq, a predicted model, not a curated record